UCAUCAGUGAGGUUAAUCCUUUUUUCUUUUUCGAUUGGAGUAAUGGAGCAUAAUGAUUUGGGAUAAUGAGGCUGUGAUUAAACUAUUCUGGUUUGUGGAGUGCAGUAAUCUCUACACUAAUCAUAUCUGGU
Protopterus annectens (West African lungfish) is the source of this 131-nucleotide small nucleolar RNA. RefSeq annotates it as U8 small nucleolar RNA. Lineage: Eukaryota; Metazoa; Chordata; Ceratodontiformes; Protopteridae. The record is from RefSeq and is a predicted model, not a curated record. The transcript has a single exon.